Molecule: ribosomal RNA, 940 nt
Filed under: Burkholderia sp. VG4_1c_pre
Lineage: Bacteria; Pseudomonadati; Pseudomonadota; Betaproteobacteria; Burkholderiales; Burkholderiaceae
Also listed under: 4 other names
Description: bacterial SSU rRNA
Rfam family: Bacterial small subunit ribosomal RNA
Source: RNAcentral
GGACUGAGACACGGCCCAGACUCCUACGGGAGGCAGCAGUGGGGAAUUUUGGACAAUGGGCGCAAGCCUGAUCCAGCAAUGCCGCGUGUGUGAAGAAGGCCUUCGGGUUGUAAAGCACUUUUGUCCGGAAAGAAAACUUCUGGGUUAAUACCCUGGGAGGAUGACGGUACCGGAAGAAUAAGCACCGGCUAACUACGUGCCAGCAGCCGCGGUAAUACGUAGGGUGCAAGCGUUAAUCGGAAUUACUGGGCGUAAAGCGUGCGCAGGCGGUUCGCUAAGACAGAUGUGAAAUCCCCGGGCUUAACCUGGGAACUGCAUUUGUGACUGGCGGGCUAGAGUAUGGCAGAGGGGGGUAGAAUUCCACGUGUAGCAGUGAAAUGCGUAGAGAUGUGGAGGAAUACCGAUGGCGAAGGCAGCCCCCUGGGCCAAUACUGACGCUCAUGCACGAAAGCGUGGGGAGCAACAGAUUAGAUACCCUGGUAGUCCACGCCCUAAACGAUGUCAACUAGUUGUCGGGUCUUCAUUGACUUGGUAACGUAGCUAACGCGUGAAGUUGACCGCCUGGGGAGUACGGUCGCAAGAUUAAAACUCAAAGGAAUUGACGGGACCCGCACAAGCGGUGGAUGAUGUGGAUUAAUUCGAUGCAACGCGAAAAACCUUACCUACCCUUGACAUGUAUGGAANCUNGCUGAGAGGNNGGAGUGCCCGAAAGGGAGCCAUAACACAGGUGCUGCAUNNCUGUCGUCAGCUCGUGUCGUGAGAUGUUGGGUUAAGUCCCGCAACGAGCGCAACCCUUGUCCCUAGUUGCUACGCAAGAGCACUCCAGGGAGACUGCCGGUGACAAACCGGAGGAAGGUGGGGAUGACGUCAAGUCCUCAUGGCCCUUAUGGGUAGGGCUUCACACGUCAUACAAUGGUCGGAACAGAGGGUCGCCAACCCG